GGCCUUGGGGCAGCUACACAUGCAAGUCGAGCGGAUGACGGGAGCUUGCUCCUUGAUUCAGCGGCGGACGGGUGAGUAAUGCCUAGGAAUCUGCCUGGUAGUGGGGGACAACGUUUCGAAAGGAACGCUAAUACCGCAUACGUCCUACGGGAGAAAGCAGGGGACCUUCGGGCCUUGCGCUAUCAGAUGAGCCUAGGUCGGAUUAGCUAGUUGGUGGGGUAAUGGCUCACCAAGGCGACGAUCCGUAACUGGUCUGAGAGGAUGAUCAGUCACACUGGAACUGAGACACGGUCCAGACUCCUACGGGAGGCAGCAGUGGGGAAUAUUGGACAAUGGGCGAAAGCCUGAUCCAGCCAUGCCGCGUGUGUGAAGAAGGUCUUCGGAUUGUAAAGCACUUUAAGUUGGGAGGAAGGGCAGUAAGCUAAUACCUUGCUGUUUUGACGUUACCGACAGAAUAAGCACCGGCUAACUCUGUGCCAGCAGCCGCGGUAAUACAGAGGGUGCAAGCGUUAAUCGGAAUUACUGGGCGUAAAGCGCGCGUAGGUGGUUUGUUAAGUUGGAUGUGAAAGCCCCGGGCUCAACCUGGGAACUGCAUCCAAAACUGGCAAGCUAGAGUACGGUAGAGGGUGGUGGAAUUUCCUGUGUAGCGGUGAAAUGCGUAGAUAUAGGAAGGAACACCAGUGGCGAAGGCGACCACCUGGACUGAUACUGACACUGAGGUGCGAAAGCGUGGGGAGCAAACAGGAUUAGAUACCCUGGUAGUCCACGCCGUAAACGAUGUCAACUAGCCGUUGGAAUCCUUGAGAUUUUAGUGGCGCAGCUAACGCAUUAAGUUGACCGCCUGGGGAGUACGGCCACAAGGUUAAAACUCAAAUGAAUUGACGGGGGCCCGCACAAGCGGUGGAGCAUGUGGUUUAAUU
RNAcentral lists this ribosomal RNA (920 nucleotides) under Pseudomonas sp. EP_S_60. RNAcentral describes it as "bacterial SSU rRNA". It matches the Rfam family "Bacterial small subunit ribosomal RNA", at positions 35 to 951 of the family's 1533-position model. The record is from RNAcentral. Lineage: Bacteria; Pseudomonadati; Pseudomonadota; Gammaproteobacteria; Pseudomonadales; Pseudomonadaceae.